UUGAUGCAUUAUUUGCACCAGUCUUCACUGUUGCAAGGUAAACCUUGCAAUUCCUUUUCCAAUGACCUGCCUUGCCGCAGUGAAAGCAGGUCGACUGUCCGGAGGUCUUCUUUCCUUUCUUCUUCUUAUUUAUGCCACCUUUAGGGUUCAGCCUCCUUUUAGAACCCUUUUUGCCUGCCUUCUUCUUGGAGAUCCCAUCCACAAGAAGAAGAGGAGCCUUAUCCUUCU
Molecule: long non-coding RNA, 228 nt
Filed under: Elaeis guineensis (African oil palm)
Lineage: Eukaryota; Viridiplantae; Streptophyta; Magnoliopsida; Arecales; Arecaceae
Description: long non-coding RNA (EGUI_LNC076678)
Source: RNAcentral